RNAcentral lists this ribosomal RNA (543 nucleotides) under uncultured bacterium. RNAcentral describes it as "bacterial SSU rRNA". It matches the Rfam family "Bacterial small subunit ribosomal RNA", at positions 777 to 1320 of the family's 1533-position model. The record is from RNAcentral.
AAUAGAUACCCCGGUAGUCCACGCCGUAAACGUUGGGCGCUAGGUGUGGGGAACCUUCCACGUUCUCCGUGCCGCAGCUAACGCAUUAAGCGCCCCGCCUGGGGAGUACGGCCGCAAGGCUAAAACUCAAAGGAAUUGACGGGGGCCCGCACAAGCGGCGGAGCAUGUGGCUUAAUUCGACGCAACGCGAAGAACCUUACCAAGGCUUGACAUAUACCGAAAACUCGUAGAGAUACGGGGUCCGCAAGGGCGGUAUACAGGUGGUGCAUGGUUGUCGUCAGCUCGUGUCGUGAGAUGUUGGGUUAAGUCCCGCAACGAGCGCAACCCUCGUCCUAUGUUGCCAGCGAGUAAUGUCGGGGACUCAUAGGAGACUGCCGGGGUCAACUCGGAGGAAGGUGGGGAUGACGUCAAAUCAUCAUGCCCCUUAUGUCUUGGGCUGCACACAUGCUACAAUGGCCGGUACAAAGGGCUGCAAUACCGCAAGGUGGAGCUAAUCCCAAAAAGCCGGUCUCAGUUCGGAUUGGGGUCUGCAACUCGACCCCA